Molecule: ribosomal RNA, 497 nt
Filed under: uncultured bacterium
Lineage: Bacteria
Description: partial 16S ribosomal RNA
Rfam family: Bacterial small subunit ribosomal RNA
Source: RNAcentral
GAUGAACGCUAGCGGCGUGCCUAAUACAUGCAAGUCGAGCGAACAGACGAGGAGCUUGCUCCUCUGACGUUAGCGGCGGACGGGUGAGUAACACGUGGAUAACCUACCUAUAAGACUGGGAUAACUUCGGGAAACCGGAGCUAAUACCGGAUAAUAUAUUGAACCGCAUGGUUCAAUAGUGAAAGACGGUUUUGCUGUCACUUAUAGAUGGAUCCGCGCCGCAUUAGCUAGUUGGUAAGGUAACGGCUUACCAAGGCAACGAUGCGUAGCCGACCUGAGAGGGUGAUCGGCCACACUGGAACUGGGACACGGUCCAGACUCCUACGGGAGGCAGCAGUAGGGAAUCUUCCGCAAUGGGCGAAAGCCUGACGGAGCAACGCCGCGUGAGUGAUGAAGGUCUUCGGAUCGUAAAACUCUGUUAUUAGGGAAGAACAAAUGUGUAAGUAACUAUGCACGUCUUGACGGUACCUAAUCAGAAAGCCACGGCUAACUACGUG